Trichonephila inaurata madagascariensis is the source of this 71-nucleotide non-coding RNA. The record is from the annotation of a GenBank genome assembly. NCBI's taxonomy places the organism in Eukaryota, Metazoa, Arthropoda, Arachnida, Araneae, Nephilidae.
GUCCUUAGUAUGAUAGCUAUGACCCUCGGCUUGUAAUCGAGUGGGUUCGGGUUCGAAUCCCGAGUAAGACA